CGUCGCUUUCUAGUGUCUGUGGUGUCGGCGCUGCAGGAUGACGCGAGCCUCUCGCGUCCCUGGUUUUCUCGGUCGCAGCGUUGAGUUAUUGGGUGGAAAGGCAUCACCUUAGAGUCAACCUUCUUUGAAACCACUGUCUCAGAGAAAUCCCUCCAAGACACAGGUAAUUAGAGAGGGUAUGUGAACCAAGGAGCCAAUCAAAUUCUCCCACAUAAGAAUUUGGGACACAGAAGAUGAAGCUGAGGACCACAAGGAUUUAGAUACUGAUGCUAUCUUUCAGCCAAGUUGCUUAAGAACAACAGUUGACUAGAACUGCACGUCUUCCUUCAAACACUGUCUACUGCAGAAUGCAAACAGGAACCUCUGGGAAUAUCU
This 375-nucleotide long non-coding RNA is filed under the name Homo sapiens (human). RNAcentral describes it as "HSALNT0044805". The record is from RNAcentral. Lineage: Eukaryota; Metazoa; Chordata; Mammalia; Primates; Hominidae.